This is a long non-coding RNA of Bicyclus anynana (squinting bush brown), 233 nucleotides long. RefSeq lists it as uncharacterized. NCBI's taxonomy places the organism in Eukaryota, Metazoa, Arthropoda, Insecta, Lepidoptera, Nymphalidae. The transcript has 2 exons. The record is from RefSeq and is a predicted model, not a curated record.
GUACUUGUUGGUGGUUGUGUCCGGGGCGACGGUGGUCGCGUCCGGUGCGUCCGUUGCGUCCGUUGUGUCCGGCGGCGCAGUCGCUUUGGUCCGGCGCAGGAACGGACGCCGCUCCUUCGCUGCCUGUUAGUGGAAUAGUCGAUGAGAGAUGCCGGUAGAAGAACUUUAUUGAAUCAAAAAUGUUACAACAAAGUAUAAGUUUUAAUUUGGAAUUGUAAAAUAAAACAACACUA